CCGCCCCUUGUCAGUUAUUACUCCAUCCGUGAUCGGCCACUUCCCUUCUUUUACGGGCCACUUUAAGCCGAUCAAAACCGCAUGUAACCACUUGCAGUUACGCCUUGCGAUUACUCAAAUAUUUUGCCAAUACUCCCGAUGCACCAAAAUUUCCUUUAAUCUCUGUUCCUAAAGAUUUGGGUUGAACAUGCCAUGUGGCUGCACAUUAUUGGCCGAACAUAUAAUAUUAGGACUUUUGUACGGACAAUAUAUGAAAGUUGAAUUUUGUAGGAAUAUAUUUAUAAUUCACUCUGUUUGUAAGAACCUGUAUGCAAUUAACCUUAUAUAUAUAUAUAUAUAUA
This 341-nucleotide long non-coding RNA is filed under the name Ananas comosus (pineapple). Its description in RNAcentral is "long non-coding RNA (ACOM_LNC043482)". Lineage: Eukaryota; Viridiplantae; Streptophyta; Magnoliopsida; Poales; Bromeliaceae. The record is from RNAcentral.